GCAUUUGAGUGUGUCUGUAGCUGACAAAUACAAGAUGAAGUACUUCUCUCUUUUGGCGCUGAUAAUGAUGCUGGUGUUCCUGGCUGGGACAGUGCAGGCUGGUGAUGAAGAUGUUUCUUCGUCGGCAUCGCCACCGGCGGCCUCGUCGCAAUCGCCAACUUCAACGGACGCCUCGCGUCGUCGUUAAAACGUUGCAGUUUAGCAGCGGAGGCUGAUGCAGCCCAAGUCCACAUGGAAGUCAUAGCACACAAUAAUUCACCUAUCUUUAAAUGUAUAAGUGCUUUAAUAAACACCUCUGUUUAUUGAAACCAGAUCCUUAUUAAACUACUUAAUUACAUAACAAUUAAAAAUAAA
Plutella xylostella (diamondback moth) is the source of this 354-nucleotide long non-coding RNA. RefSeq lists it as uncharacterized. The record is from RefSeq and is a predicted model, not a curated record. Lineage: Eukaryota; Metazoa; Arthropoda; Insecta; Lepidoptera; Plutellidae.